AGAGGUGCCGGUGGCUCAAUGGUAGAGCAUCAGCUUUGGAUGCAAAAGGCCCCGGGUUCAGUUCCCAGCACUUCCA
This 76-nucleotide transfer RNA is filed under the name Sphaerodactylus townsendi. Its description in RNAcentral is "tRNA-Pro". The record is from RNAcentral. Lineage: Eukaryota; Metazoa; Chordata; Lepidosauria; Squamata; Sphaerodactylidae.